RNAcentral lists this ribosomal RNA (1016 nucleotides) under uncultured bacterium. Its description in RNAcentral is "bacterial SSU rRNA". It matches the Rfam family "Bacterial small subunit ribosomal RNA", at positions 357 to 1376 of the family's 1533-position model. The record is from RNAcentral.
AGGAAUAUUGGUCAAUGGACGAGAGUCUGAACCAGCCAAGUAGCGUGAAGGAUGACUGCCCUAUGGGUUGUAAACUUCUUUUAUAUGGGAAUAAAGUGGUCCACGUGUGGAUUUUUGUAUGUACCAUAUGAAUAAGGAUCGGCUAACUCCGUGCCAGCAGCCGCGGUAAUACGGAGGAUCCGAGCGUUAUCCGGAUUUAUUGGGUUUAAAGGGAGCGUAGGUGGACAGUUAAGUCAGUUGUGAAAGUUUGCGGCUCAACCGUAAAAUUGCAGUUGAUACUGGCUGUCUUGAGUACAGUAGAGGUGGGCGGAAUUCGUGGUGUAGCGGUGAAAUGCUUAGAUAUCACGAAGAACUCCGAUUGCGAAGGCAGCUCACUGGACUGCAACUGACACUGAUGCUCGAAAGUGUGGGUAUCAAACAGGAUUAGAUACCCUGGUAGUCCACACAGUAAACGAUGAAUACUCGCUGUUUGCGAUAUACAGUAAGCGGCCAAGCGAAAGCAUUAAGUAUUCCACCUGGGGAGUACGCCGGCAACGGUGAAACUCAAAGGAAUUGACGGGGGCCCGCACAAGCGGAGGAACAUGUGGUUUAAUUCGAUGAUACGCGAGGAACCUUACCCGGGCUUAAAUUGCAUUUGAAUAAUCAAGAAAUUGGUUAGUCGUAAGACAAAUGUGAAGGUGCUGCAUGGUUGUCGUCAGCUCGUGCCGUGAGGUGUCGGCUUAAGUGCCAUAACGAGCGCAACCCUUAUCUUCAGUUACUAACAGGUUAUGCUGAGGACUCUGGAGAGACUGCCGUCGUAAGAUGUGAGGAAGGUGGGGAUGACGUCAAAUCAGCACGGCCCUUACGUCCGGGGCUACACACGUGUUACAAUGGGGGGUACAGAAGGCCGCUACCUGGUGACAGGAUGCUAAUCCCAAAAGCCUCUCUCAGUUCGGAUCGAAGUCUGCAACCCGACUUCGUGAAGCUGGAUUCGCUAGUAAUCGCGCAUCAGCCAUGGCGCGGUGAAUACGUUCCCG